AUGGGAUAUGGGUAUAAAUGUCCCUCUGACCUGAGACCGCCACGGUGACUUGCAAGCAACUCACUGCACUUAGGCACUGGACUACCUGAAUUUCUAAUUCAGUGACGGAAGGCUGCUGGGUGUAGUCAAGUACUUGACUUGUCGGUGCGUGUGUCAAGAUGGGAUUGACCACUUCAGUUUAGGAGUUGUGUACAGUCAUGUUUCAAUUUAGCAAAAUCUUGAUCAGGGUAGUCCUAGUGAGGAGUCAUAGGACUAAUUGAGUUGAGCACGAUUCGGAUGAUCUCAUCAGGGUUGACAGUUUAACCUUGAGUCGUCCUAAACACAGGGGUCAAAAGGGAUGAAUUAUACGGUAACCAUAUUCACGUAGGUUCUGAAUAUUAUGAUUGUGACUAUUCAACCUAUCCGAUCAUUGGGUACCAUUGCUAGAUGGUCACUUCGAUUAGUACAGAAAUUGG
This 455-nucleotide long non-coding RNA is filed under the name Elaeis guineensis (African oil palm). RNAcentral describes it as "long non-coding RNA (EGUI_LNC040838)". The record is from RNAcentral. Lineage: Eukaryota; Viridiplantae; Streptophyta; Magnoliopsida; Arecales; Arecaceae.